RNAcentral lists this ribosomal RNA (774 nucleotides) under uncultured Neocallimastigales. RNAcentral describes it as "partial large subunit ribosomal RNA". It matches the Rfam family "Eukaryotic large subunit ribosomal RNA", at positions 22 to 645 of the family's 3401-position model. Lineage: Eukaryota; Fungi; Neocallimastigomycota; Neocallimastigomycetes; Neocallimastigales. The record is from RNAcentral.
UAUCAGUCAUGCAUAGCAUAUCAAUAAGCGGAGGAAAAGAAACUAACUAGGAUUCCCCUAGUAACGGCGAGUGAAGCGGGAAGAGCUCAGAUUUGAAAUCUUCAAGGUUCUACCUUGACGAAUUGUAGUUUAAAGAAGUGUUUUCUGUUGGAGUUUUGGUAAAAGUUCUUUGGAAUAGGACAUCAUAGAGGGUGAGAAUCCCGUAUUUGACCAUUAUUUCCAACUUUGUGAUACACUUUCAAAGAGUCGGAUUGUUUGGGAAUGCAGUCCAAAAUGGGUGGUAAAUUUCAUCUAAAGCUAAAUACUGGCGAGAGACCGAUAGCGAACAAGUACCGUGAGGGAAAGAUGAAAAGAACUUUGAAAAGAGAGUUAAACAGUACGUGAAAUUGUCAAAAGGGAAGCGUUUGACACCAGUGUUGUUUUCUCGAAAAUCAAUUAAAGAUGGAUGGAUUUUGUGUUGUAUUGACUUUAUCAGCUUUCUGCACUUUUUUCCUAUCUUUUUUAAUGCACUUUUCGUUUAACAAGUCAACAUCAAUUUCUUUUGUUGUAAAAGGGUAUGAGGAAGGUGGCUUUCUCUUCGGAGAAAGUGUUUAUAGCCUUUAACCUCUGCAAUCGGAGAGAUUGAGGUCUGCAGCGUAGAUCCUUCGGGGUUAGAUACAUUUGUGCUAAGUUAUAGUCUUUUAUAGACAACUUGUUGACUAUGAUUUAGUCUUGUAGCUUACUCGCUGAUGCUAUUUUACCUACGCUUAGGAUGUUGAUCUCUCACAGUCGAGC